RNAcentral lists this ribosomal RNA (637 nucleotides) under uncultured bacterium. RNAcentral's name for it is "bacterial SSU rRNA". It matches the Rfam family "Bacterial small subunit ribosomal RNA", at positions 607 to 1244 of the family's 1533-position model. The record is from RNAcentral.
GCUUAACCGGAGAAGUGCAUCGGAAACUGGGAGACUUGAGUGCAGAAGAGGACAGUGGAACUCCAUGUGUAGCGGUGGAAUGCGUAGAUAUAUGGAAGAACACCAGUGGCGAAGGCGGCUGUCUAGUCUGUAACUGACGCUGAGGCUCGAAAGCAUGGGUAGCGAACAGGAUUGGAUACCCUGGUAGUCCAUGCCGUAAACGAUGAGUGCUAAGUGUUGGAGGGUUUCCGCCCUUCAGUGCUGCAGCUAACGCAUUAAGCACUCCGCCUGGGGAGUACGACCGCAAGGUUGAAACUCAAAGGAAUUGACGGGGGCCCGCACAAGCGGUGGAGCAUGUGGUUUAAUUCGAAGCUACGCGAAGAACCUUACCAGGUCUUGACAUCUUCUGCCAGUCUUAGAGAUAAGACGUUCCCUUCGGGGACAGAAUGACAGGUGGUGCAUGGUUGUCGUCAGCUCGUGUCGUGAGAUGUUGGGUUAAGUCCCGCAACGAGCGCAACCCUUAUUAUCAGUUGCCAGCAUUCAGUUGGGCACUCUGGUGAGACUGCCGGUGACAAACCGGAGGAAGGUGGGGAUGACGUCAAAUCAUCAUGCCCCUUAUGACCUGGGCUACACACGUGCUACAAUGGACGGUACAACG